UGGGGAAUAUUGCACAAUGGAGGGAACUCUGAUGCAGCGACGCCGUGUGAGUGAUGAAGGAAUUCGUUUCGUAAAACUCUGUUCUAUGGGAAGAAAAGGACUGUACCAUAGGAGAAAGCUCCGGCUAAAUACGUGCCAGCAGCCGCGGUAAUACGUAUGGAGCGAGCGUUGUCCGGAAUUAUUGGGCGUAAAGGGUGCGCAGGCGGCUUUACAAGUUGGAUGUGAAAUAUUGUGGCUCAACCACAAACGUGCAUCCAAAACUGCAAAGCUUGAGUUAAGGAGAGGUAAGUGGAAUUCCUGGUGUAGCGGUGGAAUGCGUAGAUAUCAGGAGGAAUACCGGUGGCGAAGGCGACUUACCGGACUUAAACUGACGCUCAGGCACGAAAGCGUGGGGAGCAAACAGG
RNAcentral lists this ribosomal RNA (404 nucleotides) under Fusobacteriota bacterium. RNAcentral's name for it is "Fusobacteria bacterium partial 16S ribosomal RNA". It matches the Rfam family "Bacterial small subunit ribosomal RNA", at positions 355 to 776 of the family's 1533-position model. Lineage: Bacteria; Fusobacteriati; Fusobacteriota. The record is from RNAcentral.